Molecule: ribosomal RNA, 492 nt
Filed under: uncultured bacterium
Lineage: Bacteria
Description: partial 16S ribosomal RNA
Rfam family: Bacterial small subunit ribosomal RNA
Source: RNAcentral
AGUGAACGCUGGCGGUAGGCCUAACACAUGCAAGUCGAACGGCAGCACAGUAAGAGCUUGCUCUUACGGGUGGCGAGUGGCGGACGGGUGAGGAAUACAUCGGAAUCUACUUUUUCGUGGGGGAUAACGUAGGGAAACUUACGCUAAUACCGCAUACGACCUACGGGUGAAAGCAGGGGAUCUUCGGACCUUGCGCGAAUGAAUGAGCCGAUGUCGGAUUAGCUAGUUGGCGGGGUAAAGGCCCACCAAGGCGACGAUCCGUAGCUGGUCUGAGAGGAUGAUCAGCCACACUGGAACUGAGACACGGUCCAGACUCCUACGGGAGGCAGCAGUGGGGAAUAUUGGACAAUGGGCGCAAGCCUGAUCCAGCCAUACCGCGUGGGUGAAGAAGGCCUUCGGGUUGUAAAGACCUUUUGUUGGGAAAGAAAAGCAGCAGGUUAAUACCCCGCUGUUCUGACGGUACCCAAAGAAUAAGCACCGGCUAACUUCGUG